Molecule: long non-coding RNA, 1273 nt
Filed under: Bemisia tabaci
Lineage: Eukaryota; Metazoa; Arthropoda; Insecta; Hemiptera; Aleyrodidae
Description: lncRNA ENSSSA2NGG007659
Source: RNAcentral
CAAUCCCACCGUCUCACUACCCUCGGAUGAAAUCUUCGAACGGCUGAGCAGAAUCCAGGGCUCAGAACGGUGCCAGCCGGAGAAAUCAAUGUGAGGACGGAACUGUUUCCGUGGAGAGGUAUCUAUGUUAUGAGAACGGUGGAGAUAGAGCCGUCUAUACCCUCGCUGAUGGUUGUCUUGACGAGGGUUAGCGAGAGUUUCAGUCGGAUCCAAGGACCGCCGCUCCUGCUUAAUCAUGAUGUGGAGUUUGACGUGGCUACCGGUAGUUUGUAUCGGACACAACUUUGGACAUCAAGAACAUCACUAAGAGAUUACGUAGGCUAUGAUCCUCCAACGCCCAUACGCGAGCUACCUUAUGCGUAUCAAGGUUUCCUUACUGUUAUGGAACGAUUGCCUCAAUCCUCAACGGAUGCUCGUAUCACCUCACCGCCGCCACCGCCUCCAAACCGAAGAGGAUUGUACCGUCCUAUCCCGAUGAUACACCGGCCAAGGAUGACGACAGCGAAGACACAUGCUCUAUAUGCUAUGUAAAUGUGCAGAAUACACGGUACAGACCAUGCAAGCACCAAUUCUGUUUUAGUUGCACAAAGGAGAUUAUAAAAACAAGCCCUUUUAGAUGUCCCACUUGUCGUUGCGUGAUCGAUGACUACGGGAAGCUUCUGUCUGAUUCUGAUUGAUAUUUAAUCGUGUGCACAAUUACACUAAAGUUCCUGAGAUAUUGCUUUAGUCUUACAUCCGUUUUCAAAUGCAUAUAUGUACGAAUUAAUGACAAUUACUUUGACAAAGGGACAUUUAAGUCAAGAGGGCAUGUUUCCAACCUACCAGCAUGAUACAAGGCACAAAUUUCACAGGAAAACCAAUCAUGUAACAAAAAAAGAUAAAUACCUCAUGUAAAGCAGUGCCUUGAACCUUUCUAACGCUCUUCUGGAACCCCUAAGGUUACUCGGGUUACCCCUAAGGUUACUAAAGAAUGAGGGAUCGAAAAAAUUUAGUUCUGCUCUGAAAGAGACAUUACUAUGCUGUUCCGGAUACACAAUGUACUACUAGACGAGGUACGAAUUUAAGCAAUCUGAUGCAUGUUUCUUAACCAGAAUUUCUCGUAGAACACGAUUAACACAAUAAAAAUUACUGAACCAACUCCUAACGAAGAUAUUAACGUUUUUAUUUCACAUUGGUUACGGGAAUUUGAACUACCCGCUCACAAGAGACUCAAAGCUCUACGUUAGUCAAAUCGCGCACUACAACGGUUUCAGCAAGCUUCUCAAUUGAGAAA